CCCGCGGCAAGACGGAAAGACCCCGUGAACCUUUACUAUAGCUUGACACUGAACAUUGAGCCUUGAUGUGUAGGAUAGGUGGGAGGCUUUGAAGUGUGGACGCCAGUCUGCAUGGAGCCGACUUGAAUACCACCCUUUAAUGUUUGAUGUUCUAACGUUGGCCCGUAAUCCGGGUUGCGGACAGUGUCUGGUGGGUAGUUUGACUGGGGCGGUCUCCUCCUAAAGAGUAACGGAGGAGCACGAAGGUU
This 248-nucleotide ribosomal RNA is filed under the name Escherichia coli. RNAcentral's name for it is "partial 23S ribosomal RNA". It matches the Rfam family "Bacterial large subunit ribosomal RNA", at positions 2069 to 2318 of the family's 2925-position model. The record is from RNAcentral. Lineage: Bacteria; Pseudomonadati; Pseudomonadota; Gammaproteobacteria; Enterobacterales; Enterobacteriaceae.